UACGGAGGAUCCUAGCGUUAUCCGGAAUUAUUGGGUUUAAAGGGUCCGUAGGCGGCUUGAUAAGUCAGCGGUGAAAUUUUGCAGCUUAACUGUAACAGUGCCGUUGAUACUGGGGAGCUAGGAUUUGGUUGCUGUGGGUGGAAUGUGUGGUGUAGCGGUGAAAUGCUUAGAGAUCACACAGAAUAUCGAUUGCGAAGGCAGCUCACAAAGCCAAGAUUGACGCUGAGGCACGAAAGUGUGGGGAUCAAACAGGAUUA
This 257-nucleotide ribosomal RNA is filed under the name uncultured prokaryote. Its description in RNAcentral is "partial 16S ribosomal RNA". It matches the Rfam family "Bacterial small subunit ribosomal RNA", at positions 524 to 780 of the family's 1533-position model. The record is from RNAcentral.